Non-coding RNA from Euryarchaeota archaeon TMED132, 307 nucleotides. The record is from Rfam. NCBI's taxonomy places the organism in Archaea, Methanobacteriati, Methanobacteriota.
AAGCGGGAUAGGUGGGGAGCUAGGCGUACCCUGUAUUACAAAUCGUCUUUAUGGUAGACUGAACUCCUUGGGGCGGCGAAAGCGGUCUCUUGGUUCCUGUGCGCGGACGUUGAUGUCUCGCCCCCACAUGACUCGGGUGUCAUGAACCGUAUCCGGAGGGAAACGGGAAUUGAAUAACUGGGGAAUCAGGUCAGGCCGGGAACGGAGCAGCCCUACUCAGGGCCAUGGGUGCUGUGGGGUAGCGGGAUGGAGAAAGUGUAUGGAUUUAGCCUUGAGAAACGAGCGUCCACCCUUGGACCUCCCACUU